Long non-coding RNA from Protopterus annectens (West African lungfish), 2455 nucleotides. RefSeq lists it as uncharacterized. Lineage: Eukaryota; Metazoa; Chordata; Ceratodontiformes; Protopteridae. The transcript is spliced from 4 exons. The record is from RefSeq and is a predicted model, not a curated record.
UAUAGUAGUAUGCUGCUAACUGUGGGAUAGAGUCCUUGACGUUGAGCUUUCACCUAUAAAUAAUUUAUACAUCGGUGUUAUCUAUGGAUUAAGGUUAUACUACUAACUUGAUUUUCAACUGUGCAACUAGAAGCUUGGACAGACUCUAAUCAACCUGAGCAAGAUGUUACAGAUGAAGGAACAGGAGCAGCAGGAAGACCAAAUCAUGAUUUCUAGGUACAAAGCAGACAUUGCUGCUGUAUCUAGAAGAUGCGAUACACUUGAAAAAAGAGCUUGAAGAGAUGCAACAUAACUACCAGCUCCUGCAAGAUGAGCAUAGCAUGCUACAACUAACAUAUAGCUCACUGGAAGGGCGAAUGCAGAAGACUGAAUAUGAGAACAGAGAACUGAUAGAGCGCUGGAGGGGAUCGAAGGCUGCAGAAGCACAGACAGUGAACAAGCACAAUGACAAGAAGGAAAGGUACAGAAAAUGCUGGCAAAGCUGAAAAGAAAACUUGAGCAGCUGAAAUGAAAUUCUUCGACCUCAAAACUGUGAGUGGUUAUUGUUUCACAUGGCUCUUUUUGGACUAGAAAGCUCAUUCUGUGACAUUUUUUUCAGAACUAGUGUGACUGGCAGUGCUGAAUGGCUGCAGUCAACCCUGAUUUUCAUUACAUUCUGCUACUUUAAAGACAGAGGAGAAAUGAGUGAUAUAAUUAUGUAACUAGAAAUGUUUCACAGUAAUAAACAGGAGUAAUACAUUCAUACUAUACAGAUACAGAGAAUGUCUUAGUCUCAGCUGAAGGACACACUGUUUUUUACCUCUGAAGAGUGUUCAUCCAUACUACAUGAGAUUCAGAUGCUUUUGUCUCCAUUGUGUUGUUGCCUUCCUUACACCAUUAAGUGGCACACAUUUUAUUCACAACCAUUUGAAGAAGAAAUGUCUCAUUUGACUAUUCAGGCAAGAACACUUGUAUGUUCAUGGUCACCACAUGGGGAUUAGUGACUAGAUGGACUGGAUUUGACAUGGAGACCCAUUUAAAUUCUUUGCAGAAGCCACACCCUGAGGCCAGCAUUAGCCACUCUACUUGCAAAGCUGUGGAAGUGCUGUAACCCUUGAAAUAGCAAAUCUUACAACUUCCUUUAAGUUGGAAUAUUUGAAGCAUUUGUCACAAGCCCAGUAAAUGACAAUUCCCCAAAGUUACAGUUACAGCAUGACAGUUUGUAAGACGAUGUACAUUGGCUAUGACAGCUACGUGACAAAAUAGUUAUAUGAAGUGUCUAACAGACCUAGAAUUGCUGUUGCAUUGGUUAUAUGUUGUUAUGUUCUGUCCUUUGUACUGGCCAUGGGUAUGUUUUGGUCCGCAAAAUCUGAUGUCUGUACCACAAUUGUCCCACUUUGGCCAUUUGAAAAGGUGGCAACUGUAAUAGAUACUUAUUUAGACUGCAUCUGGUGUUAAUGCUGCAUGCAUUUGAUGUUGAUUAUCAUGUGUGUUUGUCACCAUAAUUUCAGCUUUUUCUGAAAUGUCACUGUUUUCCCAUUGAGUUGUGCAUACUGCUGCAUUUGGUCUUAUUCACUUCUCUCUGCUCUACUUGUUGUAAUAAUCUUUCUUCAUGCUUAUUGAAAUUUUAUUUUGUUGUCUUUAUUGCCUGUAAGGCUUGGGUGUUCAUAUGGCUACAGUUUUUGCUUUUCACAUUAGAACUUGAAUAUUUAUUAUUUUUUCUUUUUACCUGUUUGUUAACUGGAUAAGCCCACUGGACACAGCUGCCCCUUUUCAGAGACAACCCUAGAGCACCGUAUUUUUAAGUGACAUGCUUAGAGUCACACAACAGGCAGAUCUAGGUGGAAGGAAUCAAAGCCUGUACCCCAAGCACAGGAAGCAAGAUAUUUAACAUCUCAGAGCCAUAAUCCUCUAAGCUAACUACCGGAUGGUUUCCAGGACAGAGUCUGGUUAUUUUAGAAAAAUGACAUUAAAUGGUAUCAUAGAGUAGUCCUGGGGUGCAGAGAGGAUUAUUGUCCAUGUACUAAAUAUCCUGUAAUGAAACUUUUGAACUAAAGCUCUUUUUCCUGCCUCUGCUAAUAUUUCUUGUGAAUGUAUAACACCUGCAACAUUUGUUAAUGAAGACUGAGUGUACUUUUAAAUUGCUUUUGUUAAAUUUUCAUAUUCCAUGGAGAAACUGUUGUAAUUUGAGUUCCUGACAUAUAAACAUAAAUAAAGCUAUGUACCUGUCUUUUCUCAUUAUACUUUCUGUUUACCCAGGUUUUGUCACUGAUGCUUUGAAACUUUUGUUGGAAGUAAUUUGCUCUUAUAUGUCAGUAUAAUGUCAUUUGUUUGAUCAACAUUGUUUAUGUUAACAAAAAUGAUCCAUACGUAAUAAAAGCACUGUCUCAGUUCCCACUUGUAGUUAAUAACUAUAAAUGUUAAAAAUAAAAUUACUUUUGUUGUGUAUUUCUUAAUUGUAUCAAUAAAUUGUAAA